UUUUUUUUUUUUUUUUAAUGUCAAGACUUGUGGUACAAUUUGCCUCUUUAUGUGUUUUUGUGUAACCUGAAUUAAAGUAACAACUGAAUUAAAAAUAAUAAUGAAAGAAUGUACAGUAUAACAUAUUUUAUAAAGUGUAAAACCGAGCAACAUAUUGUUUAGAUAUGAAAUAUGUAUGUAGAAAACCAUAAUUAAAUGAAAGAAAGGGGCACCUGGGUGGCUCAGUUAGUUAACCAUCUGCCUUCCACUCAGGUCAUGAUCACAGGGUCCUAGACUGAGCCCUGCAUCCAGUUCCUUGCUCAGCUGAAAGCCUCAUUCUCCCUUUCCUUUUGCCCCUCCACCUUGAUCAUGGUCUGUUUCUUGUUCACUCUCUCUCAAAUAAAUAAAUGAAAUCUUUUAAAAAGUGGACAAAAUGGGGUGUCUGGGUGGCUCAGUUGGUUAGGCAUUCAACUCUUGAUUUAGGCUCAGGUUAUGAACUUGAGGUUCUUAGAUUGAUCCCUGUAUCAGGCUCCUUGCUCAGUGGGGAGUCUCUUUGCGAUUCUCUUCCUCUCCUUCUCUCUGCCCCUGCUCCUCCUUUCAUGCUCUCUAAAAUAAAUAAAUAAAAGAAAUAAAGAAAAAAAAUGACAAAGUGGAUAGAAUAAAAACAACAUUGAAAAUGCCAGGAUAACAAUUACAAGGAGGAGGGAUCAGAAGGGGAAGGGACUUUCAGGCUACCUCGAAAGUAAUAAAAAUGUUCUAUUUCUUAAGCUGAGUAAUGAAUUCAUGUGUCUCUUUUUAUGAUUCUGUUUCAUAACUAGAGUAUAUAUAAAUUAUAUACAUACAUUAGUUAUAUGUAUUUAGCAUCAUAUAAAACAAAGGAUACUGCUUUUGCAUAAUGCGUUAAUAAAAACUUAAGAGAAUUUAUCUGUAGCUUCAUUUCAGCCUUUAACAGUAAAAUUUAGAAAGUUCACAGAGAUGACCAUUACAGGUAACAGCAUCAUGAGGUAGAUCUAUUAUCAGCCAAUUGAUAAGAACUUAAUUUAAUGGGGAUUUUUCAUAUUGCAGUUAAAAGAAAUUAAAAAAUAAUUCUCAACUUGUCUUCCUUUGAACUAACUAGAGAAUGCCAUUAUUUACACUUGUGGUUUUUGUCUUUAUUUGGGUUCUACUUGAGAUUAAUUGUGGCCAGUCCCACACUUUCACCUAACUGUUCUUUAUGUUAACCUAAGCUACUCCACUACCCAUUAGCACCAAGUGCCAUUAGCAGUUAUAUUACCUUCUUGACUACUCAAGCUGAACUCGUCUGUAAUAACAAUGAGAUAGACUGUUAGGAGAAAUUCAUCUUACACAGCACUGCUGAAAAACACCUCUAAGGUUUCCCCAAGUGAUAUAAAAUGCUCCAAAAGUUAUAACAAGAGAACAUCCAAUCUCCCCAAAUGGCUCUAGUUGUCAGUAGCUUUAUUUGCAAUACCAAUUGUUGGAAAGUAAUGUACUUUUAUCCAAGUUUCAAGCUGUACUUACUGGUACUCAUUUGCACAGCUUGAGAGAUAUUUAUUGGGAUGACAUUGAAUUGAGCUUUCAAUAUUUCUGAUUUACAUCUUCUCUUUGAGAUAGGACAUCUCUGACAUAGCAAGAAUCAAAAAUAUGUCUUUGAAAUAUGUAUUGUCAUUUGCCUAUAGGGCUUUAUUUGGUAGGGUAAAACUAUGACAAGGCUAAUUAGACUCCCUCUUUGCCUUUCACAUUUUGGGAUUUUUUAAUAUUAAAGAACAAAAACUUACUUGUUAAGGCAAUAUUCAACACUUAACGGCCCAACAAAUAUUUAUUAAAUAGAUCUCCGACAUAAAUAGCUCUAAUAAGUUAUUUUCCUAUUCGCUGACACAAAGGGGGUGGGGCAACCAAAACAGCUGUCAGACUAAGAAGGCUGUUGUCACCCUCAAUUAUAUCCCUUUGCUAGACAGCUCUGGCCUGGCACCUGUUUUGUUUCCCUUUCUUUUUUUUUUUAUUUAUUUUUUUAUUUUUAUGGAGAGCUACUUUACUCUCCUCCCUCUUAUAUUGAAAGAAAGGCAGGA
Molecule: long non-coding RNA, 2045 nt
Filed under: Canis lupus familiaris (dog)
Lineage: Eukaryota; Metazoa; Chordata; Mammalia; Carnivora; Canidae
Description: lncRNA (ENSCAFG00000053353.1)
Source: RNAcentral